UCGCUGACCGCACGGUCUCGCACCGGCGGCGCAUCUUUCAAAUGUCUGCCUUAUCAACUUUCGAUGGUAGUUUAUGCGCCUACCAUGGUUGUAACGGGUAACGGAGAAUAAGGGUUCGACUCCGGAGAGGGAGCCUGAGAAACGGCUACCACAUCCAAGGAAGGCAGCAGGCACGCAAAUUACCCACUCCCGGUACGGGGAGGUAGUGACGAAAAAUAACGAGACGGUUCUCUACGAGAUUCCGUCAUCGGAAUGGGUACAAUCUAAAUCCUUUAACGAGGAUCUAUUGGAGGGCAAGUCUGGUGCCAGCAGCCGCGGUAAUUCCAGCUCCAAAAGCGUAUAUUAAAGUUGUUGCGGUUAAAAAGCUCGUAGUUGGAUCUGCGUCUUGAACUAGUGGU
This 398-nucleotide ribosomal RNA is filed under the name Nematoda sp. YAMAG2018. RNAcentral describes it as "SSU rRNA". It matches the Rfam family "Eukaryotic small subunit ribosomal RNA", at positions 260 to 659 of the family's 1831-position model. The record is from RNAcentral. Lineage: Eukaryota; Metazoa; Nematoda.